GCCCGGGUAGCUCAGUCGGCAGAGCGCAAUCAUGGUAAGAUUGAGGCCGGCAGUUCGAUUCUGCCCCCGGGCU
This 73-nucleotide transfer RNA is filed under the name Elusimicrobiota bacterium. Its description in RNAcentral is "Elusimicrobia bacterium (groundwater metagenome) tRNA-Thr". Lineage: Bacteria; Pseudomonadati; Elusimicrobiota. The record is from RNAcentral.